GAGACUGUACUUCUCAGGAUCAUUUCUGUAGUACGGUUUCCCGGUGGGAGUUCCACCUUGCUCGCCAAAGCACCCGCGAUGACGAGACUCGGCGUCGUCCCCUGAGCGUGAAGCUCGCCGGGGUCGUCGCUGGAAAGCAUUUUUGGUGAUCGCCCGGCGUUGAGGAACGUCGGCUGGCCCCCCUUGGGGGUCGGCCGCGGGGGCGACGCUCUCUGAGCGGG
Molecule: small nucleolar RNA, 221 nt
Filed under: Heterodera glycines (soybean cyst nematode)
Lineage: Eukaryota; Metazoa; Nematoda; Chromadorea; Rhabditida; Heteroderidae
Description: Small nucleolar RNA U3
Rfam family: Small nucleolar RNA U3
About the family: Small nucleolar RNAs (snoRNAs) are involved in the processing and modification of rRNA in the nucleolus. There are two main classes of snoRNAs: the box C/D class, and the box H/ACA class.
Source: Rfam by way of RNAcentral